GGGGGUCCCACUCCCGGGAUAUCAUCUCCCUUUCCCUGUGGGCACCUCCAGCUGUCCCAUUCCCUGUGUCAUCUCUGGGGGAUCUGUCUCUGCUGCCAGGACACAGCCAGGAACAAAGUAAAAAUGAAAACCAAACAUCCAAAGCUUCUCCACCCCAAAGAAAAGGUUUCAGCUCUGCCACACGCUUGGAAAAUCAGUGUCCAUGGGAUUUAAUUCCAGAGGCAGGGAUGCAGCCCAAGGAGAAAGGUUGGAGGGACAGAUUAGUGUCCUCGUGUGUGAGCUUGCAGUGGCCAUUCCUGGGAUAAAGAAUUCAUCCAAGGAGAGCUCAGCCACCCUCCAUCCCCUCAAAAUGAGGACAGGAUCAUUCCCAGGGCUUCCCUGCAGAGCUGGAAGCAAAGCAGCGAAAUAAGGGUGGAAUUUCAGGGCAAAAAAACCAGAAAAUAAAAGAACACCAAAUUUAAU
Molecule: long non-coding RNA, 462 nt
Organism: Pipra filicauda (Wire-tailed manakin)
Lineage: Eukaryota; Metazoa; Chordata; Aves; Passeriformes; Pipridae
Exons: 3
Source: RefSeq, a predicted model, not a curated record